This 271-nucleotide ribosomal RNA is filed under the name uncultured archaeon. RNAcentral's name for it is "partial 16S ribosomal RNA". It matches the Rfam family "Archaeal small subunit ribosomal RNA", at positions 477 to 747 of the family's 1478-position model. The record is from RNAcentral.
CAGCGCCACGAGUGGCAUACAUAUUUAUUGGGCCUAAAGCGUCCGUAGCCGGUUUGGUAAAUCUUUUGUGAAAUCAUAGGGCUUAACUCUAUGGCGUGCAGAAGACACUGCCUGACUUGGAACCGGAAGGAGUCAGAGGUAUUCUGGGGGGAGCGGUAAAAUGCUAUAAUCCCUGGAGGACCACCUGUGGCGAAAGCGUCUGACUAGUACGGAUUCGACGGUGAGGGACGAAAGCCAGGGGAGCAAACCGGAUUAGAUACCCGCGUAGUCC